GACCUAAGUUAGGUGACCAGCCAAUACCAUCACAGUGACCACAAAGACCUAAGUCAGGUGACCAGCCAAUACCAUCACAGUGACCACAAAGGGCCAAAAGCUCAAAGAUGUGGCAGAGUGUAAGACUGCAAGGUGGGAGCACCAUAACCAUCCCGAGGGAGGAAGAUAUUUGAGGGUCGGGCUCCUUAUUGGAGUGAUCUCUUCCAGUGCAGGGGUCGCUAGAGGUUCUCUAAGGGAGACUGGGUUUGAGCUGAGGUUUGAGGUGUGGAUUUCAUUUCAAGAGGCAGGGAAGGGAAAUUGUGCCUUUUACAGGUGAGAUUGUCGGAAUGAGUAAAUUUACAAGACCAGGAUAAGGACAAAUAGGUUUCUCAGAAAGUAAUGCCAGAUCAUCCAAAGAACUUUGACUGAAAAUUGUUUGGAGAAGCAGGAAUGGAGAUUAGGAAAGAGGACCAGGCUUGAAGUUCAGAUCCUUGCAGGAGAGAACUUGCUAUCAAGGGCCAUCUCACCGUAUGUAUUGUCUGAGGACUCAGCUGGGAAGACUAGCGUGUCUGAGGGGGACUCAAGGAACAGGAGCUGGAGUCAUCUGGAGACUUCUUCACACAUGUCUGGUGCCAGACUGAUGCUAGGAUGCCAUGACAACUGGCUCAGGGGGUUACCCACCAGAGUGCCUACCUGUGGCCCCUUCAUGUGACUUGGGCUUCCUUCAAGCAUGGUGGCCUCAGGGUCAUCAUACUUGUGACCUGGAGGCUCAGAGCUCUAAGAGCAAGUGUUCUGGUAAACAAGCCCUUUUAUACCCAGACUCAGAGGCCAGUUCCACCAUCUUCUGUUGAUCAGAGCAGUCACAGACCCUUCCACAGUCAAGGGGAGAGAUGCCUCACCUUCGGUGGAAAGAACGUCAAAGCAUUUGAGGCCAUGCUUUAAAACUGCCACAGAUCCACCCAAAUGGAGAAUGUCCCUCAGUAUCAGAGACAGAGCAGGUUCACAGGGACACGUAGCAGCAAGGUCUCCAGGCGAGGCAGCCAGCAGCGCCACCCGUGGGAGCUGCUCUGGGUCUGGGCACAGGUGCUUCCAUUGUCGUCUGAGCACAAGGCUCAGACCUUCAGUCACAUCAACCUGAGGACUGUGAAGAACUUUCAUGCCAAACUUCCUCCAAGAAGCUCUUUCUGGUCCCCAAGGGUCCAUAUUUCCCAUGACUUCUCUGAUUCAGGAAGAUGAUCCUUGCAGGGCCUCUCCUGGGGCAGUGUUAACCAGACUCAAUGUGCUACUACCGUUGGUGGCAUUUAGUUCCGAUGCUUCUCCCUUGGGCCUUGUCCUCAAAGUCCUGGACCCAGCCUGUGGCCCUGGAGGAAGCUUAUCUUUGUUUGACCUUUUAUCUGAACAACCAUGGGGAUUUCCAGUUUCCAGUUUGGGAUUCUAGUGUACGUCUGUGCAGUGCAUCAUGGACUGACUUCACCCCCUCGAGCAUUACUUUAAAUGUUUAGAGAUAAACUUUGUCAUCUGUGCAUCACUGUGACAGCUACGAAACUAGAAAAGAGAACAUUGAGGCUAUUUUGGGUAGCAUUUUUUUUUUUCAAUUCAAAUAAUCUUGAGUUCCUUAAGACUUACCAGCACUUUUUGGCCAUCUGGUCAGAUUCGUUUGCCACUGGAAAAGCAUUUUACUGUUAGAAUGUUGGGUCCAGGAAUGUCCUCAAUGGGAGCAGCAUGACUUAGAAUGGAAUCUUUGCCUAUUACUCAGACUUGCAACUUGAAUCUCCCAGGAGAAGCUGCUGAUUUUGGUGCUGGAAAAUAUCCUACGAGGACUAUUCUAAGUUAUAUCUCAAGCUGCUUUCCGAACUAAGGAUGCUCUUAUCAGCUUCUGGAACUUUAAGCAAGAGGCCUACUAGGCACAAGCCUUGAUGUUUCAUGAAGAAAUUAUCUUCCUAUUUAUCUUUAAAAGAAUUCAUUUCUAUUUUGAGGGUAAUCCAAGAUAAAAAGGGGCGAUGAGAUGUAGAGAGUGACGGAAGCAAGAGAUGGGAGAAGGAGAUGGGAGCUUGGAGAAGACGUUAGGGAGUGAUAAAGUCACCUGGAUGGAAAUGCAUCUUCUCAGGCUUGGAGCUUCCAGAGUGGGAGAACUCUGUAUUUCUGUGUUUUUGGGAUAUCUCAGUGCCUGGCUCAUGGGAGGACCUCAGGAAUGGAUGGGGGGAUCAAUAGCAACCUGGGGGGUGAGUUUCAGGCAGGAUUCACCCUGGCAAAAUAGCAGUGCCUGGCACACAGAAGACACCAAGCUUGUUAAAUAGCUGAAGAGGAGCUGUCACCUUCAGCCCCAUGCCAUAGCUCGGAUGCAGGCCAUCGUUGGAAGAGGUCCUAAUGACAUCAGAAAGGCGCUGGCAGCCAUAAAUACCCUGAGGUGUUUGGCACCGUACAAAGUGCUUGGGUUUUGGGUUCUGUGGAAGGUUGUUUCUAAAGAUGGUGGCCAAAAUCCUGGCAAGUCCUUAUGCCCUUUUGAAAUGUGGCUUUGUCUCUCCUCUCAUCCUGAGGUGGAGUCCACCGCCUCUCCCGUGGAGUCUGGGAUGGCCCUUUGACCUGCUUUGACCAACAGAAGUAGAAGAAGCAAUGCUAUUUUACAUCCAAAUGUAGGCUUUAGUCUACCUUGUGGUUUCCAUUUUCACUCUUUGGGAGUCCUGAGCCACCACAAAAGGAAGUCCCUCUAUCCUUCUGGAGAAAGCACGUGAAGAAGGAGAGACCCCGGAGAGGGAAACUUGGUGAGAGAAGAGAGGCCUUGGAGGGGGAAAGACCACGGGGCGAGAGGCCCCACUGAGGGGCAGACACAUGAGUGAGGCCUUCUUGGAUCUUCCAGACAAAAGCACAACCUCCUCGGAGAAGCCAGUCAAUACCCUGUGGAGCAGAGAUGAGCACCCCGGCUGAGCCCUGCCCAGCCAACCCACAGGAUUAUGGGCAAUAAAGUAGUUUUUGUUUUAAGCCAUCA
This is a long non-coding RNA of Equus caballus (horse), 2965 nucleotides long. The record is from Ensembl. Lineage: Eukaryota; Metazoa; Chordata; Mammalia; Perissodactyla; Equidae.